UUGAGUACCUGACUUUAGAACCAAUUUCUGGAGAAAUUUCCUUAAAAAUGUGUAGAUGUUUUUGGACAUUAGUGUAAUAUAGACUAUGGAGAAGGUAAAUGAAUAGUUGUUGUCCAGAGAAAGUGGAAGGUUUGAAUUCAAAUUGGAGCCAAAAGUCAGCAAUUGAGCAGAUUUCGAGCUCCUUGCUAAAAUAAUCCUAAGUCUGGAAAACAGGAUGAGUAUCUAUUUUUGAAACCGAAUUCUGCCCAAUUUUUCAAGUAAGUGAGCAAAGGCAACUAGACAGCGGUGAAGUAUGAUCCUUGGACAUGUUUAAUAAGGUGUCGUUGCUCAGAGAUAGCGAAAGAAUCAAAUUUAAAUCAAAGCUCAAAGUCAGCACUCUAACUAUUUCGGCCAACUCUCGAAGCUGCAUAAAUUCUAAGUCUGGA
RNAcentral lists this long non-coding RNA (425 nucleotides) under Setaria viridis. RNAcentral's name for it is "long non-coding RNA (SVIR_LNC006756)". Lineage: Eukaryota; Viridiplantae; Streptophyta; Magnoliopsida; Poales; Poaceae. The record is from RNAcentral.